This is a small nucleolar RNA of Apteryx haastii (Great spotted kiwi), 63 nucleotides long. Lineage: Eukaryota; Metazoa; Chordata; Aves; Apterygiformes; Apterygidae. The record is from Ensembl.
GCGCUGAUGCCUCUUGACACGUGUUAGACUGCUGACACGCAUGAAGCAAACCCACUCCUGAGC